This 41-nucleotide small RNA is filed under the name Arabidopsis thaliana (thale cress). RNAcentral's name for it is "ATSL128700". Lineage: Eukaryota; Viridiplantae; Streptophyta; Magnoliopsida; Brassicales; Brassicaceae. The record is from RNAcentral.
UUUUUUUUUGGUUUUGUUUUUUGGACGUGGAUUGGAAAGGA